Molecule: long non-coding RNA, 540 nt
Organism: Pezoporus occidentalis (night parrot)
Lineage: Eukaryota; Metazoa; Chordata; Aves; Psittaciformes; Psittacidae
Exons: 2
Source: RefSeq, a predicted model, not a curated record
GCUCUCGCUGCCUGCCGCUGCCUCCCCGCCCCGCCGGGCCUGCGCCUCAGAGCGGACACCGUCCAUCGACCGGCUGGGCCAGGGCGUGCGGGUUCUGCUUUGCGUUGCAAGGCAGCGCCCGGGGAUGUGAGGCAUACCCCGAGUGCAGCAGACAGCAGAGAUGUGCAUUGCUGGAAUCCAGAGAGUUUCAUAACGUGGCAGCUGCUUGCUGAAAGCCCUGCAGAUACAAAACAACGCUUACUUUAAGUCUUGGGAAACAUCUCCUACUAAGUAGAAGAAAAAAGCAUUUAGGUGAAGCAAUGUUGCCGGUCCCAGCUGUUUAUGAGGCUUGGGUUCUGUCUUUAUGCAUUUUAAAUGCUUUUUGUUUUCAUUCUGCUUUUUGAGCCUUUCAAGUGCAUGUUUUCCAUUUCUUUUCCAUCUGAGAAGAAAGUCUGGAAUCAAGUCCUUGCUUUAAAAACAAAAAUCUGGUUCAGAGUCCCGUAUAAUCAUGUAGGUCCAGACAUGGGGUGUUUAAAAAUAAAGCCACUUUCAUGAGAAUCA